This 486-nucleotide ribosomal RNA is filed under the name uncultured bacterium. RNAcentral's name for it is "bacterial SSU rRNA". It matches the Rfam family "Bacterial small subunit ribosomal RNA", at positions 33 to 507 of the family's 1533-position model. The record is from RNAcentral.
CGGACGACGCUGGCGGCGUGGAUUAGGCAUGCAAGUCGGACGGUAGGGCUUUAUCGUAAGAUAGAGUUUGAGAGUGGCGAACGGGUGAGUAACACGUAGGAAUCUACCCUUAAGACGGGGACAACCCAGGGAAACUUGGGCUAAUACCGGAUGAGAGUGCGAGAGAUUGCAAUUUAAAAGGAUGGCGAAAGUUGUCGCUUAGGGAUGAGCCUGCGGUCUAUUAGUUAGUUGGUGAGGUAAUGGCUUACCAAGGCGAUGAUAGGUAGGCGGCCUUAACGGGUGGUCGCCCACACUGGGAUUGAGAGACGGCCCAGACUCCUACGGGAGGCAGCAGUAGGGAAUAUUGCGCAAUGGGGGGAACCCUGACGCAGCAACGCCACGUGUGGGAAGAAGCAUUUCGGUGUGUAAACCACUGUCGGAAAGGAAUAACGGAAGACUUCGGUCUUUAUGAAUGUACUUUUAGAGGAAGCACCGGCAAACUUCGUG